CCGGGGUCCUGGGAGGGACACGGGAACCAGCAGCAAGGCGAGACACCGGCCUGAAGAGGGCGCUCUGGAGGCUGGAACGCUAAUUCCCUGAGAUGACCAGCAGGAGGUGCCGCCGGUGAGUCUGCACCCGGUUACAUGGGGCAUGUGUGCUCCCUAUCCCAUAAGGGAUGCGUCCAUAGUUAUGAUAACUGGUGGGAUGUCCUGCAGAAAGGGGACCCUGGAGCAAAGCUUGUGAGGCAAUGUCCACCAGUGGAGGGUGUCCUUGACUCUGAAGAACAUUGGACAUUCGGUCUGUAGGCAGUGGUCAUCCAACUUUGGAAACACCUCAUGAAGAGGCGAGCGUUCCUGACAACAAAAGUGCAAGAGGCCAUGUGGCCUAGGAGUUGUAGGCAAUCUCGUGCAGUCACCUGUGGACUGUUGAUGGAGUUGAGAAGGUGGAGUGGGAGAGGUGCUAUUCUUUUGUGCGAGUCGAAAUGUGUUCCUAUGAACUCCAGUUGUGGGGUGGGUGUGAGUGUAGAUUUUCUUUGUUCAUUCGCAGGCCAAGAGCAUGGAAACAUUGGAUUGUCUGUUGUGUGGACUGAAUGGCUUCUUGGAGGGUCCUGGCUUUGAAAAGAUAGUUGUCGAGGCAAGUAAAAAUUAUGAUUCCCUGCCUUUUGAGAUGAGGUGUUACAACUGCGAGGAGUUUGGAAAAGACAUGAGGAGAGGCCGAAAGUGAUAAGCUGAAAGAGAAGUGCAUUGAAGUUGAACUGACACUGCUGAUAUAUCAUCUAUUUACUGUCCUGUUUACAACGUUACUUUGGAACACACCUCCCACUCUCCCUCCUGCAAUGAAAUGGGUGAAGAAUAGCUGUAGAGCAAGAGACCUGUAAUGCCUCUCCUGCUGUUCAGAGAUUUCCCAAGCUGCAGCAAAGUGAAAACUGACAUAUCUGGUCAGAAAGAAAGGCAACUAGGGGAAGUGACAAGAAUCAUAUCAAUUUUGCUCCCGUGGAAGUUAAGAGUAGCAGCAGAGGCAGGUACUCAAGAUAUUCAAUGAAAAGCUCCGAAAGACCCAAGAUCUGUGAAGAUUAGUAACUGACACCUACCACUAACACCUUCUCCACAGCAGCAACAAGGAUUUCAGGAGGGAAUGACAAUAACUGCUGGUAAAAACAGAAAGGGAGGCUUCAAAGUUAAUCAGAAUAUACAACUUAUUUUUUUUUUUUUAGCAUCCAGCUAGUGAGGCUGGAUCUCGGGGACAGCAUCAUGGUAGAAAUCAUACCACUUUUUUACAGCAGAUCAGGGACCCCAGCCAGUUGUCUCCUGCACUUCUAUUAGGUGUAAGUAAAAAUAUUUCAGGCCCUAUGUGAGAGGGGGCAGGGCAAGUGGUCUGGAGGGAUAAAGAACAUAAUAUAGAUAGAGAUAAGGGAGGGGAGGGAGCACUGAAAAUAAUGCAGAAAAAACUAUCAUCUAUAAAAAGGAAUGGAGUGAAAUUAGCAAAGAAAAAUGGUACAACAUAUGUAUUACUAUAUUGACAAGAUCUAUUCCUUUAAUUAACAGUGGUCAUAACUUUGGGGUAACAUGCAUUUUUCACAUUGAUUAGUACAUGCCCAAGAAAUUUUUCUGAACUGAAACAAUAUGAAGCUCUUAGAUAAUAUCAGCCCUUCGUGUUUGAGUGAUGUGUAGCAGCGGUCUCCAUAUAUCCCAUUAAGGAAGUGGCAAGCUUUGUCAAUCCCUUUAAAGGACAAAAAUUCCUUUCAAUAAGAGGAUAAAGGAAUUAGUGCUGUUGGUGGCUUGUUUACUGUAGGUUUCAAAUCUUAGGUCCAUUAGAUUUAUGUUCCUUUUGGGCAUUCCAAUAAAUCUGUUUUCAGCACCUAGAAAUGAGAGACUCCUGCAGGGUGGAUUAAAAAAAAAAUUAAAUACAAAUCCAAUUUAAAUAAAGUAUGGGUUAAUUUUAAAAAAUAAGCCUAUUUAGAAUUAAAUUUGAAAUUGACAAUUUAUGUUAAGGCUUAAAUUAAAUAAAAAAAAUAUUAAGCAGUACAUAUUUGCUGCCAAGUCAAACCACUGAACUGGUGGAAAUCAUUGACUAAGCACCUGGAAACAGUUUGUUGAAGCACUAAAUCUGCUUUUCACAGCAGCAGCCUUUCCUACAGAUAAAGAGGAAAUAUUUUCUUUGUUUGUUUACUAAACUAGUCCAGUUCGAUGAGUAGGUCAUUAAAAGUUAAGAACCAAAUUUGGAUUGAAAAGUAGGGAAGGGUUUUUUCCUCUUCCAAACUAUGAAUAAAAACCUAGAUGUGAGAGGGUCAGAUUAACUUGUUCUAAAAUCUUUAACAGCAUGGUGAUCAGAAACAAUCAGUUCAAUUCAUUAAUUACAGAGACUUCCUUUGUUUAAUAAAUCAGUUUUUAAUGCAAAACUUGCAUAAGAAAAAAUAUCAAAGUAUUUAGCACAUUUAAGAUAGUUUUAGUUAAUAAAAAAAAUUAAAAAUACACAGCAUUUUCAAUUGAAUUUCCAUCCAAACAGAGCUUGGCACAAAUCAUGAAUAAAUAAAUUAAUCAUCAAGUAAAUAAGAAAUGCAUCAU
Chelonia mydas (Green sea turtle) is the source of this 2556-nucleotide long non-coding RNA. RefSeq lists it as uncharacterized. NCBI's taxonomy places the organism in Eukaryota, Metazoa, Chordata, Testudines, Cheloniidae. The transcript has 3 exons. The record is from RefSeq and is a predicted model, not a curated record.